UCCCUCUUUUGUGCACAGUUUGGUUCC
This 27-nucleotide non-coding RNA is filed under the name Rattus norvegicus (Norway rat). The record is from RNAcentral. Lineage: Eukaryota; Metazoa; Chordata; Mammalia; Rodentia; Muridae.